UGGGAACUCGCCCAGCACCCACCGGCGAGGUCGAAUCGACCUCGCCGGUUCUGGAAAUUUAAUGCGUCGUCCAUAGGACGACGCAUGGGUGCUGGGAACUCGCCCAGCAUCCACCGGCGAGGUCGAUUCGACCUCGCCGGUUCUGGAAAUUUAAUGCGUCGUCCAUAGGACGACGCAUGGGUGCUGGGAACUCGCCUAGCACCCACCGGCCGGUUCUGGAAAUUUACCUUGUUGAAAAUGUUUACCUUGUUGGAGAGAGGAAGUUGAGGUAGUCGGAAGAGAGAUCGGAAGAAAUGUCGGAAGUUGGAAGUUGGAGAAGUUUUUUUUUUUUAAGUAGUUAGAAAUGAAAAUCAGAAGUAAAAGAAGUGGGAAAAGUAGAAAAGAAGUGGGAAAAGUGGAAAUAUUGG
RNAcentral lists this long non-coding RNA (407 nucleotides) under Zostera marina. Its description in RNAcentral is "long non-coding RNA (ZMAR_LNC003056)". Lineage: Eukaryota; Viridiplantae; Streptophyta; Magnoliopsida; Alismatales; Zosteraceae. The record is from RNAcentral.